RNAcentral lists this ribosomal RNA (194 nucleotides) under gamma proteobacterium MR-M12. Its description in RNAcentral is "partial 16S ribosomal RNA". Lineage: Bacteria; Pseudomonadati; Pseudomonadota; Gammaproteobacteria. The record is from RNAcentral.
GAUGGAACUGACUGACGCUGAAAACUCCUCCAGAAUCCUACGGUGGGCAAUAUUGCGCAAUGUUCCCCAGUGUGAUACAGUCUGGCCGAGCGACUCCGCAAGAGCUUCGAAUUGUUUCGGAUUUUCAAGGUCUAUUAAUGGGAAAAAACUAAUGACCUUGACAAUUGACGUUACCUUGACAAUACCUACCCGGA